GAUCCUGGCUCAGGAUGAACGCUAGCUACAGGCUUAACACAUGCAAGUCGAGGGGUAGCAGGGUAGCAAUACCGCUGACGACCGGCGCACGGGUGAGUAACACGUAUCCAACCUUCCCAUAACUCAAGGGAUAGCCUUUCGAAAGAAAGAUUAAUACCUGAUAGUACUUUUUCAAGGCAUCUUGAAAAAGUAAAGAUUUAUUGGUUAUGGAUGGGGAUGCGUUCCAUUAGAUAGUUGGUGAGGUAACGGCUCACCAAGUCUUCGAUGGAUAGGGGUUCUGAGAGGAAGGUCCCCCACAUUGGUACUGAGACACGGACCAAACUCCUACGGGAGGCAGCAGUGAGGAAUAUUGGUCAAGUGGGCGAGACGCCUGAACCAGCCAAGUAGCGUGAAGGAAUGAAGGUCCUAUGGAUUGUAAACUUCUUUUAUAGUAGAAUAAAGUGAGCCACGUGUGGUUUUUUGUAUGUAUACUAUGAAUAAGGAUCGGCUAACUCCGUGCCAGCAGCCGC
RNAcentral lists this ribosomal RNA (509 nucleotides) under uncultured bacterium. RNAcentral's name for it is "bacterial SSU rRNA". It matches the Rfam family "Bacterial small subunit ribosomal RNA", at positions 15 to 518 of the family's 1533-position model. The record is from RNAcentral.